This 234-nucleotide ribosomal RNA is filed under the name Escherichia coli. RNAcentral's name for it is "partial 23S ribosomal RNA". It matches the Rfam family "Bacterial large subunit ribosomal RNA", at positions 1513 to 1744 of the family's 2925-position model. Lineage: Bacteria; Pseudomonadati; Pseudomonadota; Gammaproteobacteria; Enterobacterales; Enterobacteriaceae. The record is from RNAcentral.
UAAGCGUGUAGGCUGGUUUUCCAGGCAAAUCCGGAAAAUCAAGGCUGAGGCGUGAUGACGAGGCACUACGGUGCUGAAGCAACAAAUGCCCUGCUUCCAGGAAAAGCCUCUAAGCAUCAGGUAACAUCAAAUCGUACCCCAAACCGACACAGGUGGUCAGGUAGAGAAUACCAAGGCGCUUGAGAGAACUCGGGUGAAGGAACUAGGCAAAAUGGUGCCGUAACUUCGGGAGAA